ACAUGCAGUCGAACGCGUUGGCCCAAUUGAUUGAUGGUGCUUGCACCUGAUUGAUUUUGGUCGCCAACGAGUGGCGGACGGGUGAGUAACACGUAGGUAACCUGCCCAGAAGCGGGGGACAACAUUUGGAAACAGAUGCUAAUACCGCAUAACAGCGUUGUUCGCAUGAACAACGCUUAAAAGAUGGCUUCUCGCUAUCACUUCUGGAUGGACCUGCGGUGCAUUAGCUUGUUGGUGGGGUAACGGCCUACCAAGGCGAUGAUGCAUAGCCGAGUUGAGAGACUGAUCGGCCACAAUGGGACUGAGACACGGCCCAUACUCCUACGGGAGGCAGCAGUAGGGAAUCUUCCACAAUGGGCGCAAGCCUGAUGGAGCAACACCGCGUGAGUGAAGAAGGGUUUCGGCUCGUAAAGCUCUGUUGUUAAAGAAGAACACGUAUGAGAGUAACUGUUCAUACGUUGACGGUAUUUAACCAGAAAGUCACGGCUAACUACGUGCCAGCAGCCGCGGUAAUACGUAGGUGGCAAGCGUUAUCCGGAUUUAUUGGGCGUAAAGAGAGUGCAGGCGGUUUUCUAAGUCUGAUGUGAAAGCCUUCGGCUUAACCGGAGAAGUGCAUCGGAAACUGGAUAACUUGAGUGCAGAAGAGGGUAGUGGAACUCCAUGUGUAGCGGUGGAAUGCGUAGAUAUAUGGAAGAACACCAGUGGCGAAGGCGGCUACCUGGUCUGCAACUGACGCUGAGACUCGAAAGCAUGGGUAGCGAACAGGAUUAGAUACCCUGGUAGUCCAUGCCGUAAACGAUGAGUGCUAGGUGUUGGAGGGUUUCCGCCCUUCAGUGCCGGAGCUAACGCAUUAAGCACUCCGCCUGGGGAGUACGACCGCAAGGUUGAAACUCAAAGGAAUUGACGGGGGCCCGCACAAGCGGUGGAGCAUGUGGUUUAAUUCGAAGCUACGCGAAGAACCUUACCAGGUCUUGACAUCUUGCGCCAACCCUAGAGAUAGGGCGUUUCCUUCGGGAACGCAAUGACAGGUGGUGCAUGGUCGUCGUCAGCUCGUGUCGUGAGAUGUUGGGUUAAGUCCCGCAACGAGCGCAACCCUUGUUACUAGUUGCCAGCAUUAAGUUGGGCACUCUAGUGAGACUGCCGGUGACAAACCGGAGGAAGGUGGGGACGACGUCAGAUCAUCAUGCCCCUUAUGACCUGGGCUACACACGUGCUACAAUGGACGGUACAACGAGUCGCGAACUCGCGAGGGCAAGCAAAUCUCUUAAAACCGUUCUCAGUUCGGACUGCAGGCUGCAACUCGCCUGCACGAAGUCGGAAUCGCUAGUAAUCGCGGAUCAGCAUGCCGCGGUGAAUACGUUCCCGGGCCUUGUACACACCGCCCGUCACACCAUGAGAGUUUGUAACACCCAAAGUCGGUGGGGUAACCUUUAGGAGCCAG
RNAcentral lists this ribosomal RNA (1441 nucleotides) under Limosilactobacillus fermentum. RNAcentral describes it as "bacterial SSU rRNA". It matches the Rfam family "Bacterial small subunit ribosomal RNA". Lineage: Bacteria; Bacillati; Bacillota; Bacilli; Lactobacillales; Lactobacillaceae. The record is from RNAcentral.